AAUCUUCGGGGUAGGGUGAAAGUCCCAACCGGCAGUAUAGUCUGCGAGCCGCUGUCGAAGGCGGCAUGAUACGGUGUGAUUCCGUAACCGACGGUAAAGUCCGGAUGAGAGAAGAU
This 116-nucleotide non-coding RNA is filed under the name uncultured Ruminococcus sp. RNAcentral describes it as "FMN riboswitch (RFN element)". It matches the Rfam family "FMN riboswitch aptamer (RFN element)". From Rfam's summary of the family: The RFN element is a highly conserved domain that is found frequently in the 5'-untranslated regions of prokaryotic mRNAs that encode for flavin mononucleotide (FMN) biosynthesis and transport proteins. This element is a metabolite-dependent riboswitch that directly binds FMN in the absence of proteins. In Bacillus subtilis, the riboswitch most likely controls gene expression by causing premature transcription termination within the 5' untranslated region of the ribDEAHT operon and precluding access to the ribosome-binding site of ypaA mRNA. Lineage: Bacteria; Bacillati; Bacillota; Clostridia; Eubacteriales; Oscillospiraceae. The record is from RNAcentral.